UUUAAGAUGGCAGAAUUUGAAUGCAUAGACUUUAAGCGUCUAAGAUGAAGUAUUUCUCUUAAAA
This 64-nucleotide transfer RNA is filed under the name Physa fontinalis. RNAcentral describes it as "tRNA-Leu". Lineage: Eukaryota; Metazoa; Mollusca; Gastropoda; Physidae. The record is from RNAcentral.